Molecule: non-coding RNA, 1073 nt
Organism: Pelobates cultripes (western spadefoot toad)
Lineage: Eukaryota; Metazoa; Chordata; Amphibia; Anura; Pelobatidae
Source: the annotation of a GenBank genome assembly
AAGACAGGGUAACACACAACAAACAAGAAGAGCGAGGAUGAUUAUCGUUAUUAAAAUGGCAACACCUAUUUGGGCCAGAGCACCUUGCCAUCCAGUCAUCCAUCCAAACCAUCUUUCCCAUGGAUCUGCGGUCCCAGAAUUUCGUUUCAGCUCAUUGGACAAACUCUUUAACUUUUCUAUUGCCAACGUUACCUUACCAUUAGGGCCUGUAUUAUCUGGAAUAUAGGUACAGCAUGUUAUGGUGUCUGGGAGUAUUUUACAUACUCUCCCUUUUUCUGCCAAAAUCAUUUUUAAGCUUAUUCUAUUCUGGAAGGUCAUCUGAGAGGUAGCUUGUAACCGCCCUAUCCCACCAUAUAUCCCAUAACAAGUAUAGUUCCCGGGAUAUAUAGUAAUGCCUUCGUCUGGGCAUAAUAUUUUUAGUAAUGAUUGGGUAUUAAGUUUCCAUGACUCGCAUGCUGACCGCUUAGGUUUAAAUACAGUGUAGAGACUUAAAACGCAUACUUCAUAUCUGGAGGAAGGUUCAGGUAUACUGUACCUGGGUGAGGCCUCGCUCCUCUGCAGACAUAGCAGUUAGACUUGUUAUGUUUAGUAGCAUUGUAUUUCAUCCAUUCAAGUCACAAGUUAGUGUCAGAGAAACCUGUCUCUACAGCCCUCUUAUCCUCAAAUAUGGGAUGACUACCAUGUCUUUUAAAGUCCUAAUGUGUGGUUUGAGGGGAUUAACAGUCAUGUGCGUGGCACCUACCCAUUCAGCUGAGUCAUACAUGUCCUGUAAGAAAAAGGUCUCCUGUUUAUUGUAUAAACCUCUUCCCUUCCAAUUCAGAUUUUAUUAGCCGUAAUGCUUGGGAGAAUAGAUUCAAACUUAGUUUCUUACCUUAAAAUCAUUUGGUACCCCCCUUGACACCCCUAUGGCAUUAAUAUACAUAUAUAUAUGUGUGGGUAAAACCACCCUUUAUAGGGGUACUCCUUUUUGUCCUGAAGCAUGAAUGAGGUGUGUCAAGAGUACCUUGGGGAUUGUCAUGUGUUAUGUGUAUGGACAUAAUAACCUAGGCUAGGGCACAUUUACUUAUUCUUAG